This 678-nucleotide ribosomal RNA is filed under the name uncultured Gammaproteobacteria bacterium. RNAcentral describes it as "bacterial SSU rRNA". It matches the Rfam family "Bacterial small subunit ribosomal RNA", at positions 44 to 715 of the family's 1533-position model. Lineage: Bacteria; Pseudomonadati; Pseudomonadota; Gammaproteobacteria. The record is from RNAcentral.
AUGCUUAACACAUGCAAGUCGAACGGUAACAGGUGUAGCAAUACAUGCUGACGAGAGGCGGACAGGUGAGGAACGCUUGGGAAUCUGCCCAUCAGCGGGGGACAACCCGGGGAAACCCGGGCUAAUACCGCAUACGCUCUAUGGAGGAAAGCCGGGGACCGCAAGGCCUGGCACUGAUGGAUGAGCCCAAGUCGGAUUAGCUAGUUGGCGGGGUAACGGCCCACCAAGGCGACGAUCCGUAGCUGGUCUGAGAGGACGAUCAGCCACACUGGAACUGAGACACGGUCCAGACUCCUACGGGAGGCAGCAGUGGGGAAUAUUGGACAAUGGGGGAAACCCUGAUCCAGCGACGCCGCGUGGGUGAAGAAGGCCUGCGGGUUGUAGAGCCCUUUCGGUAGGGACGAAAGCUCUCGACCUAACACGUCGGGAGGUUGACUUAACCUACAAAAGAAGCACCGGCUAACUCUGUGCCAGCAGCCGCGGUAAUACAGAGGGUGCGAGCGUUAAUCGGAAUUACUGGGCGUAAAGCGCACGUAGGCGGCUUGGCAUGUCGGGUGUGAAAUCCCCGGGCUCAACCUGGGAACUGCAUCCGAAACUGCCUUGCUAGAGUAUGGGAGAGGGAAGUGGAAUUUCCGGUGUAGCGGUGAAAUGCGUAGAUAUCGGAAGGAACACCAGUGG